GCCCCAGUUCGGAUUGUAGUCUGCAACCCGACUACAUGAAGCUGGAAUCGCUAGUAAUCGCGGAUCAGAAUGCCGCGGUGAAUACGUUCCCGGGUCUUGUACACACCGCCCGUCACACCAUGGGAGUCGGAAAUGCCCGAAGCCGGUGACCUAACCUUUCAGGAAGGAGCCGUCGAAGGCAGGUCUGAUAACUGGGGUGAAGUCGUAACAAGGUACC
RNAcentral lists this ribosomal RNA (217 nucleotides) under uncultured bacterium. RNAcentral describes it as "partial 16S ribosomal RNA". It matches the Rfam family "Bacterial small subunit ribosomal RNA", at positions 1285 to 1500 of the family's 1533-position model. The record is from RNAcentral.